Molecule: transfer RNA, 91 nt
Filed under: bacterium
Lineage: Bacteria
Description: tRNA-Ser
Rfam family: tRNA
About the family: Transfer RNA (tRNA) molecules are approximately 80 nucleotides in length. Their secondary structure includes four short double-helical elements and three loops (D, anti-codon, and T loops).
Source: RNAcentral
GGAAGGAUGGCUGAGCUGGUUGAAGGCGCACGACUCGAAAUCGUGUUUGGCGUAAAAACCAACGAGGGUUCGAAUCCCUCUCCUUCCGCCA